Molecule: ribosomal RNA, 403 nt
Filed under: bacterium
Lineage: Bacteria
Description: partial 16S ribosomal RNA
Rfam family: Bacterial small subunit ribosomal RNA
Source: RNAcentral
UGGGGAAUAUUGCACAAUGGGGGAGACCCUGAUGCAGCGACGCCGCGUGAACGAAGAAGGUAUUCGUAUCGUAAAGUUCUGUCCUAUGGGAAGAUAAUGACAGUACCAUAGAAGAAAGCUCCGGCUAAAUACGUGCCAGCAGCCGCGGUAAUACGUAUGGAGCGAGCGUUGUCCGGAAUUAUUGGGCGUAAAGGGUACGCAGGCGGUUUAAUAAGUCGAAUGUUAAAGAUCGGGGCUCAACCCCGCAAAGCAUUGGAAACUGAUAAACUUGAGUAGUGGAGAGGAAAGUGGAAUUCCUAGUGUAGUGGUGAAAUACGUAGAUAUUAGGAGGAAUACCAGUAGCGAAGGCGACUUUCUGGACACAAACUGACGCUGAGGUACGAAAGCGUGGGGAGCAAACAGG